RNAcentral lists this ribosomal RNA (253 nucleotides) under uncultured bacterium. RNAcentral describes it as "partial 16S ribosomal RNA". It matches the Rfam family "Bacterial small subunit ribosomal RNA", at positions 524 to 776 of the family's 1533-position model. The record is from RNAcentral.
UACGAAGGGUGCAAACGUUAUUCGGAAUCACUGGGCGUAAAGGGUGUGUAGACGGCCUACUAAGUUCGUUGUUUAAUCUUCCGGCCUAACUGGAAGCUCGCAAUGGAAACUGGUAAGCUUGAGGAUGGAAGAGAGAAGUGGAAUUCUCGGAGUAGCGGUAAAAUGCGUAGAUCUCGAGAGGAACACCGAUGGCGAAGGCAGCUUCUUGGUCCACUCCUGACGUUGAGACACGAAAGCGUGGGUAGCAAACAGG